Molecule: long non-coding RNA, 879 nt
Organism: Lynx canadensis (Canada lynx)
Lineage: Eukaryota; Metazoa; Chordata; Mammalia; Carnivora; Felidae
Exons: 2
Source: RefSeq, a predicted model, not a curated record
UCUUCUCUCUCUCUCUGUCUCUGUUUCUCUGUUUCUCUGUCUCUCAGCUGUGUGUCUGCGUCCCACCUGCAGGGGGCAGGUCGCUGUUGGUCCUGGUCAGCACACGCCGUGGCAUUGGGUCUGCUGUUCGGCCGUCCUCACGGGCGUGUCGUGGCUCUAAUCUGACUUCAGCAUCUGUCGUGCACUCACGCCCCGUGCUCAUCCACGCGUCUUCUUGGGUCGAGUGCCCAGAUCUGUCGUCCGGGUUAAAUUGGGUUGUUUGUUGUCUUACUGUCGAGUUGUGAGGAUUCCUCACGCGUUCUGGGCAUGGGCCUCUGUCGGCUCUGUGUCCUGCGCCCCUUCUCUCUGGCCGGACUGCCUUUGGAGUCCCCAGCUUGCCCGUGGCCGGUGGCCCUGGCGGGGCCUGCUCCGCUCACUCUGACUCGCAGAAGGAGACCCCCUCCUGCUCACGGGCCUCUCGCUGUCCCUGACACCGUGCUUCCGUGAGUGGACGGACGGAUUUGAGGAGGUGCACGGCUCACUGCCGAGGGACCUGCGUCCUGUCACAUCGGGGUUCGGACCAGAACCCAGCUACGUCCCGGAGUCAGCCGCUCGCUGAACCAAGAAGUGCAGGUUCGUGCUUGCAGAGGACAUGCCCAUCCGUCGCGCCCUCGAACCGUGGGUUCCGGAGUCCCUUCUCCCGGAAAUUUUCCUCCUGUGAACACUGCUGUCCUUGGUGCCGCUUGAGCGAAGAGGAAAGCAUUUCCUCGUGACAGUGACCGGCUUGCCAGACCUUUUGACGCAAGAGAGAACAGAGUUGGUUUUUCCCCAGCUUAGAAAUAAGUAGAGUUCCGUUUGAAUAAACACCGUCGUAACGUGAGCGCUUUCACGGUGACGCCC